Molecule: long non-coding RNA, 489 nt
Organism: Mytilus trossulus (common blue mussel)
Lineage: Eukaryota; Metazoa; Mollusca; Bivalvia; Mytilida; Mytilidae
Exons: 3
Source: RefSeq, a predicted model, not a curated record
CUGCCAUGCAAGGUCCCGUAACACCAGCAAUGAACGUGCAAGCGCCAUUUGCGCAAGUUGAAAUACCAGCUCCUGUGCCAAUGCCUAAUCAAAAUGCUUGUCUUAGUAAUGAAAUAUGGAUUAUUGGUUCUUCAAUAAUAUGCAGUGCUCGUGAUCACUCGGAGAACAGACCUUCAGAAUUGGAGAUAACUGAAUUGUCAUGGGUAAAUUUUGUGGCGGAUUAUCAUUCUGUACUAAAGUCCGAAUGAUAAUUUUGGCGUAAUUUACUUCAUUUUAUGCAGACUAUGGAUAGCCCAGCUGCUAAUUCUGAAAUAUUGCUGAAUGGACCGCCCUUCAGUACACCAGCUUUGGAUCGCCCAGCUGUGAUACAAAGAUUAGUUCAAUCGUCAUCAACAUUUUAUUGAUUGACAAAUAUUUUGGUUGUGUACUGUUGUUGUAACAGUUGUUGUUGUUUUAUGAAUGAAUUUUGAUUAAAUGUUGCCAUGACAA